GUAAAGUGUACUUCAACCUCCUGUUCUUUCUUCUCUGAAUAGAGAGAAAACUGUUAUUCAAGGUAUUGAAGGUGAACUAAUUUUUCAUUGUCACAUGUCAAAUUUUGUUGAUAUUCUUUAGAGAGUGGAAAAUCCCUGUAGGACAACAGUGUAUUCCUAACGAAGAAGUUAGCUUUAUGGGUCUCAUCAUAUUCUUCCUUGAAGAUGUGAGAAGAAAAAUGUAAAGAUUGAAACACAUCACUCUAGUGGUGACUUCCACACGUAUGCUCCUUGACUAUGAACAAGCCUGGGUAAUUGCUUCCUUGGCUCUUGGACACGAGGACUGAUGCGUGCUCAUAUAUACAUCAUGCAUCCUCAUGAAUGUGUCAUGAAGCCCUCUGGCAGCCACAUCUUGCGGCUUGCUCAGUGGAGGAAGUUUGCAACGUGAACCGGAGAGGUCCAGCUCUGCCCUCUUCCUCUUGUGUGCAACGAGACCGGUGGUUCCUGGAGAGGUUGGGUCCACAUCCAGGCUGAACGACUCUCUGAAGUCUUUGGGCCAUGACUAUUACCUUGGCUCCAGAGAUGAGGAUUGCCUUUCCUCUUCACAUCAGGUUUCAUGAAGGAACCGGUCUCCGUCACAGCAUCAACAGUACGUGCACGUCCUUAUUUUCAAAGUAGCAAAAAUAUUAUAAGGUGUUAUUUGUCCUUUGUUUUCUGCAGACAGAGAAAUUUAUUGCAAAACU
RNAcentral lists this long non-coding RNA (722 nucleotides) under Calidris pugnax (ruff). RNAcentral's name for it is "lncRNA (ENSCPUG00000019370.1)". Lineage: Eukaryota; Metazoa; Chordata; Aves; Charadriiformes; Scolopacidae. The record is from RNAcentral.